UACGUAGGGUCCGAGCGUUGUCCGGAUUUAUUGGGCGUAAAGAGCUCGUAGGCGGCUCAGUAAGUCGGAUGUGAAAACUCGGGGCUCAACCCCGAGACGCCAUCCGAUACUGCUGUGGCUUGAGUCUGGUAGGGGAACACGGAAUUCCUGGUGUAGCGGUGAAAUGCGCAGAUAUCAGGAGGAACACCGAUGGCGAAGGCAGUGUUCUGGGCCAGUACUGACGCUGAGGAGCGAAAGCGUGGGGAGCAAACAGGAUUAGAAACCCCCGUAGUCC
This 274-nucleotide ribosomal RNA is filed under the name uncultured bacterium. Its description in RNAcentral is "partial 16S ribosomal RNA". It matches the Rfam family "Bacterial small subunit ribosomal RNA", at positions 524 to 796 of the family's 1533-position model. The record is from RNAcentral.